RNAcentral lists this long non-coding RNA (472 nucleotides) under Elaeis guineensis (African oil palm). RNAcentral's name for it is "long non-coding RNA (EGUI_LNC079350)". The record is from RNAcentral. Lineage: Eukaryota; Viridiplantae; Streptophyta; Magnoliopsida; Arecales; Arecaceae.
GAAAGGAAAAUGAAGAAGUUCGACAGACAACUAUUUAAUGCGAGAUGCAGACGAGGUAACAAAAUCUCUUUUUCAUUUAACAAGAGUAUACGUUACAGGACCCGGUGGGUCAUGAAAAAAAAGAAAAAGAAGAUACACGUCAUCGCAAGCCUCGCAAACACGGUUCAGGAAGGAUGAACCGGAGGCCGCUCCGAGCUGCAAACUCCUCUUCCCGUCUCUGUCCUUCUCAGUCACGUUCUCUAGUGCGUGUAACAGCUCUCGCCCCAUCUUGCCUCAUUCUGUCUCCAAAGUCCCAACCCUAGCGGGAAAAGGAUGGGAUAGAUCCCCGGAGGCGGUAAGGGCAACGGCGGCAGUAGCGAAGACCUAUUUCAAGAAGAACCAGAGUCACCUUGGAAGCGGUAGCGAUGCCAGAGAUAUGCCUCGCAUCCGAAUGCUCCAUGACAGCUGCCACCCAAAAUGCUCCGGCAAGGUC